AUUGAACGCUGGCGGCAGGCCUAACACAUGCAAGUCGAACGGUAACAGGAAGCAGCUUGCUGCUUCGCUGACGAGUGGCGGACGGGUGAGUAAUGUCUGGGAAGCUGCCUGAUGGAGGGGGAUAACUACUGGAAACGGUAGCUAAUACCGCAUAAUGUCUCAAGACCAAAGAGGGGGACCUUCGGGCCUCUUGCCAUCGGAUGUGCCCAGAUGGGAUUAGCUUGUUGGUGGGGUAACGGCUCACCAAGGCGACGAGCUCUAGCUGGUCUGAGAGGAUGAGCGGCCACACGGGAGCUGGGACACGGUCCAGACUCCUACGGGAGGCAGCAGUGGGGAAUAUUGCACAAUGGGCGCAAGCCUGAUGCAGCCAUGCCGCGUGUAUGAAGGAGGCCUUCGGGUUGUAAAGUACUUUCAGCGGGGAGGAAGGGAGUAAAGUUAAUACCUUUGCUCAUUGACGUUACCCGCAGAAGAAGCACCGGCUAACUCCGUG
Molecule: ribosomal RNA, 490 nt
Filed under: uncultured bacterium
Lineage: Bacteria
Description: partial 16S ribosomal RNA
Rfam family: Bacterial small subunit ribosomal RNA
Source: RNAcentral